Molecule: long non-coding RNA, 184 nt
Organism: Dromaius novaehollandiae (emu)
Lineage: Eukaryota; Metazoa; Chordata; Aves; Casuariiformes; Dromaiidae
Exons: 3
Source: RefSeq, a predicted model, not a curated record
CCGGGCCGUGCGGGUGGCGGGGGGCUCCCGCGGCGUGGAGCUCUGCCGCAAACGGGAGCUGCUGGACACCUUGCUGGGCUUCGUGCAGGGGGAGCCCCGGGAUCGCCUGGCGUCCCCCGUGCGCCAGGAAGCGUUUGUGGCCGUGGGGCACUUGAGCAAACUGAAGCCAUCGCUGAGCCGGGAG